GAAAGAUAGGUAGUGACAAAAGUGGACAAUCUAGAAGCCACUCACAUCAACAAGCACAUUUUAUAUACUCAAGCAAUGAAAGAAUCAGAGUAGCAUCAGAUGAUCAUAACAAUAGCAUCACAAGCUUCAUGAAGAUUUUUAAAGGAUGUUGUUUGAAUCAUAAGAAGUUUCAUUUGAAGAUUCAAACAAGAAAGCAAGUUUCAUGGUUAAUAGUCUUCCUC
Molecule: long non-coding RNA, 221 nt
Filed under: Trifolium pratense (red clover)
Lineage: Eukaryota; Viridiplantae; Streptophyta; Magnoliopsida; Fabales; Fabaceae
Description: long non-coding RNA (TPRA_LNC011677)
Source: RNAcentral